RNAcentral lists this ribosomal RNA (472 nucleotides) under uncultured organism. RNAcentral's name for it is "partial 16S ribosomal RNA". It matches the Rfam family "Bacterial small subunit ribosomal RNA", at positions 334 to 797 of the family's 1533-position model. The record is from RNAcentral.
CACUCCUGCGGGAGGCAGCAGUGGGGAAUAUUGCACAAUGGGCGCAAGCCUGAUGCAGCCAUGCCGCGUGUAUGAAGAAGGCCUUCGGGUUGUAAAGUACUUUCAGCGGGGAGGAAGGCGAUAAGGUUAAUAACCUUGUUGAUUGACGUUACCCGCAGAAGAAGCACCGGCUAACUCCGUGCCAGCAGCCGCGGUAAUACGGAGGGUGCAAGCGUUAAUCGGAAUUACUGGGCGUAAAGCGCACGCAGGCGGUCUGUCAAGUCGGAUGUGAAAUCCCCGGGCUCAACCUGGGAACUGCAUUCGAAACUGGCAGGCUAGAGUCUUGUAGAGGGGGGUAGAAUUCCAGGUGUAGCGGUGAAAUGCGUAGAGAUCUGGAGGAAUACCGGUGGCGAAGGCGGCCCCCUGGACAAAGACUGACGCUCAGGUGCGAAAGCGUGGGGAGCAAACAGGAUUAGAAACCCUGGUAGUCCCA